This 464-nucleotide ribosomal RNA is filed under the name uncultured bacterium. Its description in RNAcentral is "partial 16S ribosomal RNA". It matches the Rfam family "Bacterial small subunit ribosomal RNA", at positions 28 to 507 of the family's 1533-position model. The record is from RNAcentral.
GACGAACGCUGGCGGCGUGCUUAACACAUGCAAGUCGAACGGAAAGGCCCUUCUUGCAGGGUACUCGAGUGGCGAACGGGUGUGUAACACGUGUGUGAUCUGCCCUGCACUUCGGUAUAAGCCUGGGAAACUGGGUCUAAUACCGGAUAGGAUCCCUUUUUAUUGUGAUGGUUGGAAAGUUUUUUCGGUGUAGGAUGAGCUCGCGGCCUAUCAGCUUGUUGGUGGGGUAAUGGCCUACCAAGGCGGCGACGGGUAGCCGGCCUGAGAGGGUGGACGGCCACAUAGGGACUGAGAGACGGCCCAGACUCAUACGGGAGGCAGCAGUGAGGAAUAUUGAACGAGGGGCGGAAGCAUGAUGCAGCGACGCAGCGUGGGGGAUGACGGCCUUCGGGUUGUAAACUCCUUUCGCUAGGGACGAAGCUUUUGGGACGGUACCUAGAUAAGAAGCACCGGCUAACUACGUG